UGGGGGAUAUUGCACAAUGGGCGCAAGCCUGAUGCAGCGACGCCGCGGGGGGGAUGAAGGCCUUCGGGUUGUAAACUUCUUUUGCUCUGAACAAGGCGCACUUUGGGGUGUGUUGAGUGUAGGGGUUGAUUAGCGCCGGCUAACUACGUGCCAGCAGCCGCGGUAAUACGUAGGGCGCGAGCGUUGUCCGGAAUUAUUGGGCGUAUAGGGCUUGUAGGUGGCUGGUUGCGUCUGUCGUGAAAGCUCAUGGCUUAACUGUGGGUUUGCGGUGGGUACGGGCUGGCUUGAGUACAGUAGGGGAGGCUGGAAGUCCUGGUGUAGCGGUGGAAUGCGCAGAUAUCAGGAGGAAUACCGGUGGCGAAGGCGGGUCUCUGGGCUGUUACUGACACUGAGGAGCGAAAGCAUGGGGAGCGAACAGG
RNAcentral lists this ribosomal RNA (419 nucleotides) under bacterium. RNAcentral's name for it is "partial 16S ribosomal RNA". It matches the Rfam family "Bacterial small subunit ribosomal RNA", at positions 355 to 776 of the family's 1533-position model. The record is from RNAcentral.